GCUGGCACUGUGAUGAUGACUCUUUGCCGUUUACCCAGCUGAUUUUUUUUUUGAUGAGUAACACUGUAUCUGAUGUGCCAGC
Molecule: small nucleolar RNA, 82 nt
Filed under: Numida meleagris (helmeted guineafowl)
Lineage: Eukaryota; Metazoa; Chordata; Aves; Galliformes; Numididae
Description: Small nucleolar RNA SNORD87 (ENSNMEG00000017207.1)
Rfam family: Small nucleolar RNA SNORD87
About the family: U87 (HBII-276) is a member of the C/D class of snoRNA which contain the C (UGAUGA) and D (CUGA) box motifs. Most of the members of the box C/D family function in directing site-specific 2'-O-methylation of substrate RNAs.
Source: RNAcentral